This 194-nucleotide non-coding RNA is filed under the name Chthoniobacter flavus. The record is from RNAcentral. RNAcentral also lists the same sequence under 1 other name. Lineage: Bacteria; Pseudomonadati; Verrucomicrobiota; Spartobacteria; Chthoniobacterales; Chthoniobacteraceae.
GUGGUAGCUUAGUGAAAAAGUGCCCGCGGUCACGGCCUCGGGAGAAUAGGGAAUCGGGUGUAAAUCCCGAACGGUUAGCGCCGCUGUAACGAGCGACGAAAGCCCCAUGUAGAGCCACUGCGUAGAGACGCGGAAAGGCGGGGCGAGUAGGACAACCUCGAAGCCAGAAGACCUGCUUUUUCACCCUCAUCCCG